RNAcentral lists this ribosomal RNA (418 nucleotides) under uncultured bacterium. RNAcentral describes it as "bacterial SSU rRNA". It matches the Rfam family "Bacterial small subunit ribosomal RNA", at positions 30 to 446 of the family's 1533-position model. The record is from RNAcentral.
AUUGAACGCUGGCGGCAUGCCUUACACAUGCAAGUCGAACGGCAGCACGGGUGCUUGCACCUGGUGGCGAGUGGCGAACGGGUGAGUAAUACAUCGGAACGUACCUUAUCGUGGGGGAUAACGCAGCGAAAGCUGUGCUAAUACCGCAUACGCCCUGAGGGGGAAAGCGGGGGGAUCGAAAGACCUCGCGCGAUUAGAGCGGCCGAUGCCUGAUUAGCUUGUUGGUGGGGUAAAAAGCCCACCAAGGCGACGAUCAGUAGCUGGUCUGAGAGGACGAUCAGCCACACUGGGGACUGAGACACGGCCCAGACUCCUACGGGAGGCAGCAGUGGGGAAUUUUGGACAAUGGGGGAAACCCUGAUCCAGCAAUGCCGCGUGAGUGAAGAAGGCCUGGUGUUAAAGCUCUUUGUCAGGAGAA